Molecule: ribosomal RNA, 1729 nt
Filed under: metagenome
Description: bacterial LSU rRNA
Rfam family: Bacterial large subunit ribosomal RNA
Source: RNAcentral
GAUGUGGGAUUUCGAAGACAACUAGGAUGUUGGCUUAGAAGCAGCCAUACAUUUAAAGAGUGCGUAAUAGCUCACUAGUCGAGAAAACCUGCGCCGAAAAUUAUCGGGGCUAAAACACGAUACCGAAGCUACGGACUCACGCCAAGCGUUGAGUGGUAGAGGAGCAUCCUGUAAGGACGAAGCCAUAGCGAGAGCAAUGGUGGACGAAACAGGAGAGAGAAUGCCGGAAUGAGUAGCGAGAUAGAAGUAAGAAACUUCUAGGCCGAAUAUCUAAGGUUUCCUGGGUAAAGCUAAUCUUCCCAGGGUAAGUCGGGACCUAAGGCGAGGACGAGAGUCGUAGUCGAUGGACAACUGGUAGAGAUUCCAGUACUGCGAAUAAUCAGAACUGUGGGGACACAGGAGGAUAGGCAAACCGGGAAAUGGAAAAGCCCGGUCAAGUACAAAGGUCUAGACGGUAGGCAAAUCCGCCGUCAUAUGCUGAAGUACGAUGAGGACCGAAUAAUAGUAGGGAAGUUGCCAAAUCCACACUGUCGAGAAAAGCCGCUAUUGUGUUAUUCGUACCCGUACCGUAAACCGACACAGGUAGAUGAGGAGAAAAUCCACAGGCCGACGGGAGAAGUGUUGUUAAGGAACUCGGCAAAAUGACCCCGUAACUUAGGGAGAAGGGGAGCCACAGCAAUGUGGUCACAGAAAAGAGGCUCAAGCGACUGUUUAGCAAAAACACAGGUCUCUGCGAAACCGUAAGGUGAAGUAUAGGGGCUGACACCUGCCCGGUGCUGGAAGGUUAAAAGGAGAGGUUAGGAGCAAUCCGAAGCUUUGAAUUCAAGCCCCAGUAAACGGCGGCCGUAACUAUAACGGUCCUAAGGUAGCGAAAUUCCUUGUCAGGUAAGUUCUGACCCGCACGAAAGGUGUAACGAUUUGAGCACUGUCUCGACAACACGCCCGGUGAAAUUGAAGAACCAGUGAAGAUACUGGUUACCCGCAACAGGACGGAAAGACCCCAUGGAGCUUUACUGCAGCCUGAUACUGGGAUUCGAUGAUAUAUGUACAGGAUAGGAGGGAGACUGAGAACCCGGAACGCCAGUUUCGGAGGAGUCGCCGGUGGGAUACCUCUCUUAUAUCAUUGGAUUUCUAACCUGCAUCUGUAAUCCAGAUGAGGGACAAUGUCAGGCGGGCAGUUUGACUGGGGCGGUCGCCUCCUAAAAGGUAGCGGAGGCGCUCGAAGGUCACCUCAGAAUGAUUGGAAACCAUUCAAAGAGUGUAAAGGCAAAAGGUGGCUUGACUGCGACACCGACGGGUGGAGCAGGUACGAAAGUAGGACUUAGUGAUCCGGUGGUAUUAAGUGGGAAUGCCAUCGCUCAACGGAUAAAAGCUACCCUGGGGAUAACAGGCUUAUCUCCCCCAAGAGUUCACAUCGACGGGGAGGUUUGGCACCUCGAUGUCGGCUCAUCGCAUCCUGGGGCUGAAGUAGGUCCCAAGGGUUGGGCUGUUCGCCCAUUAAAGCGGUACGCGAGCUGGGUUCAGAACGUCGUGAGACAGUUCGGUCCCUAUCCGUUGUGGGCGCAGGAUAUUUGAGAGGAGCUGUCCUUAGUACGAGAGGACCGGGAUGGACAUACCUCUGGUGUACCAGUUGCAAACCGAUUGCACAGCUGGGUAGCUAUGUAUGGAACGGAUAAACGCUGAAGGCAUCUAAGCGUGAAGCCGCCCUCAAGACUAGAUAUCCCAUUCU